Molecule: ribosomal RNA, 384 nt
Filed under: uncultured bacterium
Lineage: Bacteria
Description: bacterial SSU rRNA
Rfam family: Bacterial small subunit ribosomal RNA
Source: RNAcentral
AUUGAACGCUGGCGGUAGGCCUAACACAUGCAAGUCGAACGCGAAAGCCCUUCGGGAUGAGUAGAGUGGCGGACGGGUGAGUAACGCGUAGGAAUCUAUCCUGUAGUGGGGGGAUAACGUUUCGAAAGGAACGCUAAUACUGCAUACGCCCCAAGGGGGAAAGCGGGGGAUCUUCGGACCUCGUGCUAUAGGAGGAGCCUGCGUCGGAUUAGCUAGUUGGUGAGGUAAAGGCUCACCAAGGCGACGAUCCGUAGCUGGUCUGAGAGGAUGAUCAGCCACACCGGAACUGAGACACGGUCCGGACUCCUACGGGAGGCAGCAGUGGGGAAUAUUGCGCAAUGGGCGAAAGCCUGACGCAGCCAUACCGCGUGUGUGAAGAAGGCC